RNAcentral lists this ribosomal RNA (449 nucleotides) under uncultured bacterium. RNAcentral describes it as "bacterial SSU rRNA". It matches the Rfam family "Bacterial small subunit ribosomal RNA", at positions 29 to 523 of the family's 1533-position model. The record is from RNAcentral.
AACGAACGCUGGCGGCAGGCCUAACACAUGCAAGUCGAACGCCGUAGCAAUACGGAGUGGCAGACGGGUGAGUAACGCGUGGGAACAUACCCUUCGGUUCGGAACAACUCAGGGAAACUUGAGCUAAUACCGGAUACGUGCGAGAGCAGAAAGAUUCAUCGCCGAAGGAUUGGCCCGCGUUCGAUUAGCUAGUUGGUGAGGUAACGGCUCACCAAGGCGACGAUCGAUAGCNGGUCUGAGAGGAUGAUCAGCCACAUUGGGACUGAGACACGGCCCAAACUCCUACGGGAGGCAGCAGUGGGGAAUAUUGGACAAUGGGCGCAAGCCUGAUCCAGCCAUGCCGCGUGAGUGAUGAAGGCCCUAGGGUUGUAAAGCUCUUUCAUCAGGGACGAUAAUGACGGUACCUGAAGAAGAAGCCCCGGCUAACUUCGUGCCAGCCGCCGCCGUAA